CAAUAGCGUAUAUUAAAGUUGUUGCAGUUAAAAAGCUCGUAGUUGGAUUUCUGGUUGAAGCGACUGGUCGGGCGUUGAUUCGUCUGCACUGGAGUCGGUUUUGGCCAUCCUCUAGGAAAGUGCGUCUGGUAUUAAGUUAUCGGGCGUAUGAUCCUGGUCUUUUACUGUGAAAAAAUUAGAGUGUUUAAAGCAGGCCUUCGCCUUGAAUACAUUAGCAUGGAAUAAUAAGAUAGGACUUUGGUCUAUUUUGUUGGUUUGCAGACCGAAGUAAUGAUUAAUAGGGAUAGUUGGGGGUAUUUAUAUUCCGAUGUCAGAGGUGAAAUUCUUAGAUUUUCGGAAGAUAAACUUAUGCGAAAGCAUUUACCAAGGAUGUUUUCAUUAA
This 382-nucleotide ribosomal RNA is filed under the name uncultured eukaryote. RNAcentral describes it as "partial 18S ribosomal RNA". It matches the Rfam family "Eukaryotic small subunit ribosomal RNA", at positions 592 to 976 of the family's 1831-position model. The record is from RNAcentral.